This is a non-coding RNA of Lupinus albus (white lupine), 295 nucleotides long. Lineage: Eukaryota; Viridiplantae; Streptophyta; Magnoliopsida; Fabales; Fabaceae. The record is from the annotation of a GenBank genome assembly.
UGUUGAGGUGCACAUUCUUCUUGCAAUCUUCAUUAUAUGGUGUUAGUUCAUACUUUUGACACAAAAUGUAUAGCCCAAGUCAUUCUUCUGAAUUCUGGUGAGGUAAAUGAGGGAUUUGAGGAGGAAGCUCACUAGGAAUCUUAUGUGUUUAUUAACUUAAAUGCCUUUAGCGUUACUUUGACAUUGUAGUUGGUUAGAUAAUAUUUUGAGAUGAAUGUAAUUUUGAUUAGGACAAUACUGGAGAUAUGUAGUUAUGGACAUUAUGACUCUUGGAAACCCAUAACUGGUUGUAUGU